This 301-nucleotide ribosomal RNA is filed under the name uncultured bacterium. RNAcentral describes it as "partial 16S ribosomal RNA". It matches the Rfam family "Bacterial small subunit ribosomal RNA", at positions 509 to 807 of the family's 1533-position model. The record is from RNAcentral.
CAGUAGCCACGGUAAUACGGAGGGGGCUAGCGUUGUUCGGAAUUACUGGGCGUAAAGCGCACGUAGGCGGCUUUGUAAGUUAGAGGUGAAAGCCCGGGGCUCAACUCCGGAAUUGCCUUUAAGACUGCAUCGCUAGAAUUGUGGAGAGGUAAGUGGAAUUCCGAGUGUAGAGGUGAAAUUCGUAGAUAUUCGGAAGAACACCAGUGGCGAAGGCGACUUACUGGACACAUAUUGACGCUGAGGUGCGAAAGCGUGGGGAGCAAACAGGAUUAGAUACCCCUGUAGUCCCUGUCUCUUAUAC